GGGUUGUGAGGUUAAGCGACUAAGCGUACACGGUGGAUGCCCUGGCAGUCAGAGGCGAUGAAGGACGUGCUAAUCUGCGAUAAGCGUCGGUAAGGUGAUAUGAACCGUUAUAACCGGCGAUUUCCGAAUGGGGAAACCCAGUGUGAUUCGUCACACUAUCAUUAACUGAAUCCAUAGGUUAAUGAGGCGAACCGGGGGAACUGAAACAUCUAAGUACCCCGAGGAAAAGAAAUCAACCGAGAUUCCCCCAGUAGCGGCGAGCGAACGGGGAGCAGCCCAGAGCCUGAAUCAGUGUGUGUGUUAGUGGAAGCGUCUGGAAAGGCGCGCGAUACAGGGUGACAGCCCCGUACACAAAAAUGCACAUACUGUGAGCUCGAUGAGUAGGGCGGGACACGUGGUAUCCUGUCUGAAUAUGGGGGGACCAUCCUCCAAGGCUAAAUACUCCUGACUGACCGAUAGUGAACCAGUACCGUGAGGGAAAGGCGAAAAGAACCCCGGCGAGGGGAGUGAAAAAGAACCUGAAACCGUGUACGUACAAGCAGUGGGAGCACAGAGCAAUCUGUGUGACUGCGUACCUUUUGUAUAAUGGGUCAGCGACUUAUAUUCUGUAGCAAGGUUAACCGAAUAGGGGAGCCGAAGGGAAACCGAGUCUUAACUGGGCGUUAAGUUGCAGGGUAUAGACCCGAAACCCGGUGAUCUAGCCAUGGGCAGGUUGAAGGUUGGGUAACACUAAUUGGAGGACCGAACCGACUAAUGUUGAAAAAUUAGCGGAUGACUUGUGGCUGGGGGUGAAAGGCCAAUCAAACCGGGAGAUAGCUGGUUCUCCCCGAAAGCUAUUUAGGUAGCGCCUCGUGAAUUCAUCUCCGGGGGUAGAGCACUGUUUCGGCAAGGGGGUCAUCCCGACUUACCAACCCGAUGCAAACUGCGAAUACCGGAGAAUGUUAUCACGGGAGACACACGGCGGGUGCUAACGUCCGUCGUGAAGAGGGAAACAACCCAGACCGCCAGCUAAGGUCCCAAAGUCAUGGUUAAGUGGGAAACGAUGUGGGAAGGCCCAGACAGCCAGGAUGUUGGCUUAGAAGCAGCCAUCAUUUAAAGAAAGCGUAAUAGCUCACUGGUCGAGUCGGCCUGCGCGGAAGAUGUAACGGGGCUAAACCAUGCACCGAAGCUGCGGCAGCGACGCUGAUGCGUUGUUGGGUAGGGGAGCGUUCUGUAAGCCUGUGAAGGUGUGCUGUGAGGCAUGCUGGAGGUAUCAGAAGUGCGAAUGCUGACAUAAGUAACGAUAAAGCGGGUGAAAAGCCCGCUCGCCGGAAGACCAAGGGUUCCUGUCCAACGUUAAUCGGGGCAGGGUGAGUCGACCCCUAAGGCGAGGCCGAAAGGCGUAGUCGAUGGGAAACAGGUUAAUAUUCCUGUACUUGGUGUUACUGCGAAGGGGGGACGGAGAAGGCUAUGUUGGCCGGGCGACGGUUGUCCCGGUUUAAGCGUGUAGGCUGGUUUUCCAGGCAAAUCCGGAAAAUCAAGGCUGAGGCGUGAUGACGAGGCACUACGGUGCUGAAGCAACAAAUGCCCUGCUUCCAGGAAAAGCCUCUAAGCAUCAGGUAACAUCAAAUCGUACCCCAAACCGACACAGGUGGUCAGGUAGAGAAUACCAAGGCGCUUGAGAGAACUCGGGUGAAGGAACUAGGCAAAAUGGUGCCGUAACUUCGGGAGAAGGCACGCUGAUAUGUAGGUGAAGUCCCUCGCGGAUGGAGCUGAAAUCAGUCGAAGAUACCAGCUGGCUGCAACUGUUUAUUAAAAACACAGCACUGUGCAAACACGAAAGUGGACGUAUACGGUGUGACGCCUGCCCGGUGCCGGAAGGUUAAUUGAUGGGGUUAGCGCAAGCGAAGCUCUUGAUCGAAGCCCCGGUAAACGGCGGCCGUAACUAUAACGGUCCUAAGGUAGCGAAAUUCCUUGUCGGGUAAGUUCCGACCUGCACGAAUGGCGUAAUGAUGGCCAGGCUGUCUCCACCCGAGACUCAGUGAAAUUGAACUCGCUGUGAAGAUGCAGUGUACCCGCGGCAAGACGGAAAGACCCCGUGAACCUUUACUAUAGCUUGACACUGAACAUUGAGCCUUGAUGUGUAGGAUAGGUGGGAGGCUUUGAAGUGUGGACGCCAGUCUGCAUGGAGCCGACCUUGAAAUACCACCCUUUAAUGUUUGAUGUUCUAACGUUGACCCGUGAUCCGGGUUGCGGACAGUGUCUGGUGGGUAGUUUGACUGGGGCGGUCUCCUCCUAAAGAGUAACGGAGGAGCACGAAGGUUGGCUAAUCCUGGUCGGACAUCAGGAGGUUAGUGCAAUGGCAUAAGCCAGCUUGACUGCGAGCGUGACGGCGCGAGCAGGUGCGAAAGCAGGUCAUAGUGAUCCGGUGGUUCUGAAUGGAAGGUCCAUCGCUCAACGGAUAAAAGGUACUCCGGGGAUAACAGGCUGAUACCGCCCAAGAGUUCAUAUCGACGGCGGUGUUUGGCACCUCGAUGUCGGCUCAUCACAUCCUGGGGCUGAAGUAGGUCCCAAGGGUAUGGCUGUUCGCCAUUUAAAGUGGUACGCGAGCUGGGUUUAGAACGUCGUGAGACAGUUCGGUCCCUAUCUGCCGUGGGCGCUGGAGAACUGAGGGGGGCUGCUCCUAGUACGAGAGGACCGGAGUGGACGCAUCACUGGUGUUCGGGUUGUCAUGCCAAUGGCACUGCCCGGUAGCUAAAUGCGGAAGAGAUAAGUGCUGAAAGCAUCUAAGCACGAAACUUGCCCCGAGAUGAGUUCUCCCUGACCCUUUAAGGGUCCUGAAGGAACGUUGAAGACGACGACGUUGAUAGGCCGGGUGUGUAAGCGCAGCGAUGCGUUGAGCUAACCGGUACUAAUGAACCGUGAGGCUUAACCUUACAACGCCGAAGGUGUUU
RNAcentral lists this ribosomal RNA (2933 nucleotides) under Escherichia coli. Its description in RNAcentral is "bacterial LSU rRNA". It matches the Rfam family "Bacterial large subunit ribosomal RNA". Lineage: Bacteria; Pseudomonadati; Pseudomonadota; Gammaproteobacteria; Enterobacterales; Enterobacteriaceae. The record is from RNAcentral.